UUAGUCAUGUCAAGAUUCAGAUGGAAUCCAUUGGUUUCAAGUGGAGACUCUUCGGGGUUCAUUUCGACAGGUUGUUUGAAAACUGAGUUGGUCAGUACACACAAUAUUGUUUGGUAUCUUAAGCAAAGAAGGGUUGCUAUAUAUAUUGAAGCCUCGACAAACAAGGAUGAUAGGGCUUGUCUGAAAUUCAAGUGGAUGUUUUGAAAGAAACAUCACAACAAGUUCUUAUGCUAUCUUAGGAAAGGUGUGAGCUGGAUCAGUUGCUGAUGAGAAGGAUAAUUAUGGUUAUCUGGCUAUCCUAGCAUUCUCUGAAGAUGACUCACCUCGCACUUCUCAGGUAUGAAUUCUUUCUAACUAUGCAAUACUUAUUUCUUUAUAUUCAAAGCAUGUUAUAAAUCUC
This 400-nucleotide long non-coding RNA is filed under the name Daucus carota (carrot). RNAcentral's name for it is "long non-coding RNA (DCAR_LNC006699)". The record is from RNAcentral. Lineage: Eukaryota; Viridiplantae; Streptophyta; Magnoliopsida; Apiales; Apiaceae.